UACAGAGGUCUCAAGCGUUGUUCGGAUUCAUUGGGCGUAAAGGGUGCGUAGGCGGCGCGGUAAGUCGGGGGUGAAAUCUUGGAGCUUAACUCCGAAACUGCAUUCGAUACUGCCGUGCUUGAGGACUGGAGAGGAGACUGGAAUUUACGGUGUAGCGGUGAAAUGCGUAGAUAUCGUAAGGAAGACCAGUGGCGAAGGCGGGUCUCUGGACAGUUCCUGACGCUGAAGCACGAAGGCCAGGGGAGCAAACGGG
RNAcentral lists this ribosomal RNA (253 nucleotides) under uncultured bacterium. Its description in RNAcentral is "partial 16S ribosomal RNA". It matches the Rfam family "Bacterial small subunit ribosomal RNA", at positions 524 to 776 of the family's 1533-position model. The record is from RNAcentral.